UACGAAGGGAGCUAGCGUUGUUCGGAAUUACUGGGCGUAAAGGGCGCGUAGGCGGUAUCAUAAGUCAGAUGUGAAAGCCCCGGGCUUAACCUGGGAGGUGCAUUUGAAACUAUGGAACUAGAGAUCGAGAGAGGAAAGUGGAAUUACGAGUGUAGAGGUGAAAUUCGUAGAUAUUCGUAAGAACACCGGUGGCGAAGGCGACUUUCUGGCUCGAUACUGACGCUAAGGCGCGAAAGCGUGGGGAGCAAACAGG
This 253-nucleotide ribosomal RNA is filed under the name uncultured bacterium. Its description in RNAcentral is "partial 16S ribosomal RNA". It matches the Rfam family "Bacterial small subunit ribosomal RNA", at positions 524 to 776 of the family's 1533-position model. The record is from RNAcentral.